Molecule: non-coding RNA, 72 nt
Organism: Diplogelasinospora grovesii
Lineage: Eukaryota; Fungi; Ascomycota; Sordariomycetes; Sordariales; Diplogelasinosporaceae
Source: the annotation of a GenBank genome assembly
GCAUCAGUGGUUUAGUGGUAAAAUUCAUCGUUAGCUAUCGAUGGGCCCCGCGUCCGAAUCGCGGCUGAUGCA